GAUGGGGGAUGCAAGCGUUAUCCGGAAUCACUGGGCGUAAAGCGUCUGUAGGUGGUGAUGCAAGUCACUGGUGCAAAACUCUGGCUCAACCGGAGGAAAGCCAGUGAAACUGCAUGACUAGAGUGUGGGAGAGGUAGAAGGAAUUCCACGAGUAGAGGUGAAAUGCGUAGAUACAGGGAAGAACACCGGAGGCGAAAGCGUUCUACUGGAACACAACUGACACUGAGAGAAGAAAGCUAGGGGAGCGAAUGGG
Molecule: ribosomal RNA, 253 nt
Filed under: uncultured bacterium
Lineage: Bacteria
Description: partial 16S ribosomal RNA
Rfam family: Bacterial small subunit ribosomal RNA
Source: RNAcentral